Molecule: ribosomal RNA, 893 nt
Filed under: uncultured bacterium
Lineage: Bacteria
Description: bacterial SSU rRNA
Rfam family: Bacterial small subunit ribosomal RNA
Source: RNAcentral
GAGAGCUUGCUUUUGAUUAUUUUAGCGGCGGACGGGUGAGUAACGUGUGGGUAACCUGCCUUUUACUGUGGAAUAAUCGUUGGAAACGACGACUAAUACCGCAUACGGUUCUUGGAAGGCAUCUUCUAAGAAAGAAAGGAUUUAUUCGGUAAAAGAUGGGCCCGCAUCUGAUUAGCUAGUUGGUGAGAUAAUAGCCCACCAAGGCAACGAUCAGUAGCCGACCUGAGAGGGUGACCGGCCACAUUGGGACUGAGACACGGCCCAAACUCCUACGGGAGGCAGCAGUGGGGAAUAUUGCACAAUGGGCGAAAGCCUGAUGCAGCAACGCCGCGUGAAGGAAGACGGUUUUCGGAUUGUAAACUUCUAUCAAUAGGGAAGAAAGAAAUGACGGUACCUAAAUAAGAAGCCCCGGCUAACUACGUGCCAGCAGCCGCGGUAAUACGUAGGGGGCAAGCGUUAUCCGGAAUUACUGGGUGUAAAGGGAGAGUAGGCGGCAAGGUAAGCGAUAUGUGAAAGCCUUAGGCUUAACCAAAGGUUUGCAUAACGAACUAUCUAGCUAGAGUACAGGAGAGGAAAGCGGAAUUCCUAGUGUAGCGGUGAAAUGCGUAGAUAUUAGGAAGAACACCAGUGGCGAAGGCGGCUUUCUGGACUGAAACUGACGCUGAGGCUCGAAAGCGUGGGGAGCGAACAGGAUUAGAUACCCUGGUAGUCCACGCUGUAAACGAUGAGUGCUAGGUGUCGGGGAGGAAUUCCCGGUGCCGGAGCAAACGCAAUAAGCACUCCACCUGGGGAGUACGACCGCAAGGUUGAAACUCAAAGGAAUUGACGGGGGCCCGCACAAGCGGUGGAGCAUGUGGUUUAAUUCGAAGCAACGCGAAGAACCUUACCAAGGC